RNAcentral lists this ribosomal RNA (491 nucleotides) under uncultured bacterium. Its description in RNAcentral is "partial 16S ribosomal RNA". It matches the Rfam family "Bacterial small subunit ribosomal RNA", at positions 29 to 506 of the family's 1533-position model. The record is from RNAcentral.
AGUGAACGCUGGCGGUAGGCCUAACACAUGCAAGUCGAACGGCAGCACAGUAAGAGCUUGCUCUUACGGGUGGCGAGUGGCGGACGGGUGAGGAAUACAUCGGAAUCUACUUUUUCGUGGGGGAUAACGUAGGGAAACUUACGCUAAUACCGCAUACGACCUACGGGUGAAAGCAGGGGAUCUUCGGACCUUGCGCGAUUGAAUGAGCCGAUGUCGGAUUAGCUAGUUGGCGGGGUAAAGGCCCACCAAGGCGACGAUCCGUAGCUGGUCUGAGAGGAUGACACGCCAAAUGGGAACUGAGAACCGGGCCAAGCCCCUAGGGGAGGCAGCGGGGGGGAAUAUUGGAAAAGGGGCGAAAGCCUGAUCCAGCCAUACCGGGUGGGGGAAGAAGGCCUGCGGGUUGUAAAGCCCUUUUGUGGGGAAAGAAAAGCAGCAGGUUAAAACCCCGCUGUUCUGACGGUACCCAAAGAAUAAGCACCGGCUAACUUCGG